CAGCAGCCGCGGUAAUACCGGCGGCCCGAGUGGCGGCCACUAUUAUUGGGCUUAAAGCGUCCGUAGCCGGGUUGGUUAGUCUCCCGGGAAAUCUGGCCGCUUAACGGUCAGAAUUCCGGGAGAUACUGCCAGCCUAGGGACCGGGAGAGGCCGAGGGUAUUCCCGGGGUAGGGGUGAAAUCCUGUAAUCCCGGGAGGACCACCUGUGGCGAAGGCGCUCGGCUGGAACGGGUCCGACGGUGAGGGACGAAGGCCAGGGGAGCGAACCGGAUUAGAUACCCGGGUAGUCCUGGCUGUAAACGAUGCGGACUAGGUGUCGGGCAAGCUAAGGGCUUGUCCGGUGCCGCAGGGAAGCCGUUAAGUCCGCCGCCUGGGGAGUACGGCCGCAAGGCUGAAACUUAAAGGAAUUGGCGGG
This 414-nucleotide ribosomal RNA is filed under the name uncultured microorganism. Its description in RNAcentral is "bacterial SSU rRNA". It matches the Rfam family "Archaeal small subunit ribosomal RNA", at positions 459 to 872 of the family's 1478-position model. The record is from RNAcentral.